Molecule: long non-coding RNA, 1230 nt
Filed under: Mastacembelus armatus (zig-zag eel)
Lineage: Eukaryota; Metazoa; Chordata; Actinopteri; Synbranchiformes; Mastacembelidae
Description: lncRNA (ENSMAMG00000025110.1)
Source: RNAcentral
GAGAACGAGUUUGAUGAGGAAGAGCUGGAGCAGGACAACAAUAGGAUGGAGGAUGGAGACAGUAGUCGUGAGGGCCGUGGAAAACGUAAGCAGAAGAAGCCCUGGUCCCUGGGCCUUUAUGGGCUUUUCCAGCUGUCAGACGGCUACUUCUGUGACUCAGGUUAUCGCUGGUCCAGGAAUAAGUGUGGAACAGCCUGCAGUGCCUUCACCGACGACAACAUACUGGAUGACAUUGCUUGCUUGGUGAAGACUGAUUACUGGAAGUUCAUCUUGAAGGAGGCUUCUCUCGUGUGUCUCCGCACACGGAACUUCUUCAGUGAAUGUAAAUGAGCAGCUGCCAGAAGACAUUUUCAGGAUUUCCUCUACCUCCACUGUGACUGUUGCUACCUUCAUCAGUCAUUAUGUCUUGACGACGAAAAUCUUUUUAUGUUACAUGAUCUUUCUAUGAUUAGUGUCAGAACAUGUUUUCACAGCACUGACUAACCAAAGCUUGAUUUUUUCCACCCACCAUCCCUGCCUUUACAUUUAGUUGUUCCCUCAUAUCCAGUACAGGAAACUUAGGGAACCUUCAGGUCAACAUGCUAAUGUUUAACACGUUCCCUAUCUUACUUUAGCACAUUAGCAGUAACACUUCAUUAAAACAGGUGGAUGUUCAGUAAUAGAGAUAAAGUUUCAAACAUCAGCAUGUUAAACUGGAAAUUAGCAGUUAAAGUACUGGACUAAUUGAAAUUCUGACCUGAUUAUGGUGCCAGAUAAAACAUGAAGGCACUGACAGGUGCCAAGAGGUUUCAUGGCAGUCCAUCCAAUUUGCUGUUCAGACAUUGAAAAAUGUCAAAUGGUGUUUCAUAUCAAGGCAGGGAAGAGUUUAGUUAUUGCAUCAAUGGAAACCAUUGGUGUCACAUGUACACCGAGCUCUGCAGACCAGCAGAUGCUGAGAUAGAUAAGAUUAGAUAAGUGAAAAGGUGAAACCAGCUACUGACUGGAAGCUUUAAUGUUUUGGGGACCAUGAAUGUCUCUGAAUUUCCCCCAUGGGGGGUGAAUAAAGUGUCUAUGAAUAAAGUGUCUAUGAAUAAAGUGUCUAUGAAUAAAGUAUCUAUGAAUAAAGUGUCUAUGAAUAAAGUGUCUAUGAAUAAAGUGUCUAUGAAUAAAGUGUCUAUGAAUAAAGUAUCUAUGAAUAAAGUGUCUAUGAAUAAAGUGUCUAUGAAUAAAGUGUCUAUGAAUAAAGUGUCU